Molecule: non-coding RNA, 114 nt
Organism: Burkholderia pseudomallei 1710b
Lineage: Bacteria; Pseudomonadati; Pseudomonadota; Betaproteobacteria; Burkholderiales; Burkholderiaceae
Source: Rfam
AGAAAAGUGACCGCCGCCCCGCGCAGGGGCGACGCUGAUAGACCGUUAGCGCAACAGGUUCAACGACGAAGCGCGGAUCACCGACAAAAAACCCACGCCCCCGCGAGCCACUCC